AGGAAUGACUUGGUUCCUCGUCUGCUUAAAUCAGCUGCUGAGUUCAUAGGUGGGAUAAACUCCCAGCCAACAUUGAUAUGUGGGCCCCAUAUGGGUUAUACCUGGGCAGCAUGGGUUCUAUGUGGGCAUGGGAUGAAGAUGGGCUAUUUAUGUGUAGGGAUUGGGCGUCGUGACGUCAUCACUUAGCAUGGCCACCAUGUUGAAGGCCCCCUACUGCUUCUGCGCAAUAAUGUGCUCGUGCUUAUGUCACACCCAGGGGCGGCUAUGCUUUGACUAAGCCACACCCCUUCUCAACUUCCACCUCGAGGAGGUCCCCAAAGCCAACCCAAUGGCCAAACAACACGAGAACAAAUGGGCUAUGGCCGGGAAGAGGUCAGGGAGCAAGGGGGCCACGGGGAUCCGGGGCGUGGGACUCGGGGCCCGGCCAGAGUCUUAGGUAUCCGUAGCGCCCUCCUUCUUCCUCCUCUUCGCUGAAUACAACUCAAGUAAGUACUGGUUCACACAGUUCGUUCCUUGGGUGCUCACUCGCUUUCUCUUUCUCCACAGGCAGCGGCGUAAGUACAGGUUUCCUCGGUCUCUCCUCGUGUUACCCACUCUCUCUCCUUUUCUCUCCACAGGUAUCAACUUGGGCACAAUAGCACAGUUAGUUUGCUUUGAAUGGCUCUCACCUCUGGGCUGGACACAGCGUACUGUAAGGACAGGUUUCGCUCUAUUUCUCCUCGCGUUAUCCACUCUCUCUCCUUUUCUCUCCACAGGUAUCAACUUGGGCACAAUAGCACAGUUAGUUUGCUUUGAAUGGCUCUCACCUCUGGGCUGGACACAGCGUACUGUAAGUACAGGUUUCGCUCUAUUUCUCCUCGCGUUAUCCACUCUCUCUCCUCCUCUCUACAGGUAUCAACUUGGACACAAAACACAGUUACUCUGCUUUGGAUGGCUUUCACCUCUGGGCUGGGCACAACGUACUGUAAGUACAGAGUUCGCUCUAUUCCUCCUCGUGUUAUUCACUCUCUCUCCUUUUCUCUCCACAGGUAUCAGAUUGGACACAAAGCACAGUUAGUUUGCUUUGAAUAGCUCCCACCUCUGGGCUGAACACAGCGUACCGUGCUAUCUCCGGAGAUCUGAAGCACGCCCACAACAUAUACUGUACUGAACUAGGCUAGAACCAGCAGUCUCCUUGUCCUCCCGCAACGAAGUGCGUGAAGGCGGGGGUUUAUCUGACAGGACACACGGCAAUACACAGCAACCCACAGCAAUAUACAGCACCACGUCAAAAUUAUAGGUUUUCACAGCACGAAGACUCACCCACCACACUCAGUGUACGAAAAAGGACACCCGUCUUCCUUCACUUCGCUUGGUUCGGAUCUGGCGAUGGAAUAUGCGGCCUAGCUAGUGAUGUCGUCGUUGUGACUACUUCAAUAAGUAUUCCUUCGGCUCUCCCACCACGCUAUAUUAGGGGUUGGGCCGCCCUCCUCCUCCUGGGGAGAUCUACACAACGCCAGGUCAAUAUACAGGGCACUUUCGGCUUGCUCUUAGUACUCACAUCAAUGCCGCUUCCAAUCCCCUUUUUCACGUCGUCUCAAUUCGCCGUAUAAUCCGUUCACUUCUCAACCUUUAAGGUUUGCGAUGUCUUCACAAUCAUACAAUUCCAGCCUGAGGGAGAGAGAGAGUUAGACAGCCACCAGCAGCGCACCAAGACGGGCACGACACAGUGCUUCACACACACCAGAAAGAGCUCCCAGACUGUGACAUAACUUGGCCUUAAGUACUGCCUUGUCCAGUGUAUCCUCCAAUCACCAACCGCUGUCCCUAACUAGGCACAGGUGCAUCGAAUUCCCUGAUUUUCCCUCUUACGGCGCUACCGGAAGUUCCGGUGUUCCGGGCGGAAACACUUCCGGGCGGAACCAAACUUCCCGAAUUUUGGUUCCGCCCCUAAAGAUCGUCACCUUGUGACACUUAUGAUGGGUUGUGGGCCGUUGAGCAUAC
Carassius auratus (goldfish) is the source of this 1983-nucleotide long non-coding RNA. NCBI's taxonomy places the organism in Eukaryota, Metazoa, Chordata, Actinopteri, Cypriniformes, Cyprinidae. The record is from Ensembl.